AUGGAGCUUUAAACUUGUACCACUGCCCCAAACUACAUCAAUCAACCGGGCAAACAAUGGCUACUAGUCUUUCGGCUGGGGCGACCACGGAGAAAAACUAAACCUCCACGAUGAAAGGAACACCCUAAUUAAAGAGCUACAGCUCUAAAAAUCAACAAAUUGACAUAAUUGACCCAAACACUUUGAUCAACGAACCAAGUUACCCUGGGGAUAACAGCGCAAUCCAUUUCAAGAGACCCCAUCGACA
Molecule: ribosomal RNA, 247 nt
Filed under: Plethodontohyla inguinalis (Boulenger's digging frog)
Lineage: Eukaryota; Metazoa; Chordata; Amphibia; Anura; Microhylidae
Description: partial 16S ribosomal RNA
Source: RNAcentral